RNAcentral lists this ribosomal RNA (237 nucleotides) under uncultured bacterium. RNAcentral's name for it is "partial 16S ribosomal RNA". It matches the Rfam family "Bacterial small subunit ribosomal RNA", at positions 1255 to 1500 of the family's 1533-position model. The record is from RNAcentral.
UGGCGACAUAGAGCGGAACCCGAAAACCUAGUCUCAGUUCGGAUUGGAGUCUGNAACCCGACUCCAUGAAGCUGGAUUCGCUAGUAAUCGCGCAUCAGCCACGGCGCGGUGAAUACGCUCCCGGGCCUUGUACACACCGCCCGUCAAGCCAUGGAAGCCGGGGUGCUUGAAGUACGCUUACCGCAAGGGGCGUCCUAAGGCAAAACCGAUAAUUGGGCUAAGUCGUAACAAGGUACC